Molecule: ribosomal RNA, 301 nt
Filed under: uncultured bacterium
Lineage: Bacteria
Description: partial 16S ribosomal RNA
Rfam family: Bacterial small subunit ribosomal RNA
Source: RNAcentral
CAGCGCCGCGGUAAUACGGAGGGUGCAAGCGUUAAUCGGAAUUACUGGGCGUAAAGCGUGCGUAGGUGGUGGUUUAAGUCCGUUGUGAAAGCCCUGGGCUCAACCUGGGAAUUGCAGUGGAUACUGGGUCACUAGAGUGUGGUAGAGGAUAGUGGAAUUUCCGGUGUAGCAGUGAAAUGCGUAGAGAUCGGAAGGAACAUCUGUGGCGAAGGCGACUAUCUGGGCCAACACUGACACUGAGGCACGAAAGCGUGGGGAGCAAACAGGAUUAGAUACCCCUGUAGUCCCUGUCUCUUAUACA